CAGUAAAGGAGCAGAAGACCUUUAAAUAUAAGACGUUUAGAGAGAGAAAAUCAUCUGGGAGUCAUGUCGCCACUGAAACGGGCUAAAAAAUAUCCCUCAAUAGCAGCAUGUAGAGGUUCGGGCUACCAGUCGAUAGCGGCUGACCUCGAUGGCACUCUUCUCUUGUCCGGCAAUUCCUUCUCCUACUUCAUGCUCGUGGCCAUCGAAGCUGGAAGUCUCUUACGUGGUCUGAUUUUGCUUCUGUCUGUACCUCUCGUGAUCAUAUCC
This 267-nucleotide unclassified non-coding RNA is filed under the name Hevea brasiliensis (rubber tree). The record is from RNAcentral. Lineage: Eukaryota; Viridiplantae; Streptophyta; Magnoliopsida; Malpighiales; Euphorbiaceae.